Molecule: small RNA, 1153 nt
Filed under: Pan troglodytes (chimpanzee)
Lineage: Eukaryota; Metazoa; Chordata; Mammalia; Primates; Hominidae
Description: retained intron
Source: RNAcentral
CUCCGCGUUCCAGAAUCCAAGAUGGCGGGAUCCAGGCAAAGGGGUCUCCGGGCCAGAGUUCGGCCGCUGUUCUGCGCCUUGCUGCUGUCACUCAGUCGCUUCGUCCGGGGCGACGGCGUGGGAGGAGACCCCGCGGCCGCGUUGCCACAUCGCCGUUUCGAGUACAAAUACAGCUUCAAGGGGCCGCACCUGGUGCAGAGCGACGGGACCGUGCCCUUCUGGGCCCACGCGGGGAAUGCUAUUCCAAGUUCAGAUCAAAUUCGAGUAGCACCAUCUUUAAAAAGCCAAAGAGGCUCAGUGUGGACAAAGACAAAAGCGGCCUUUGAGAACUGGGAAGUUGAGGUGACAUUUCGAGUGACUGGAAGAGGUCGAAUUGGAGCUGAUGGCCUAGCAAUUUGGUAUGCAGAAAAUCAAGGCUUGGAGGGCCCUGUGUUUGGAUCAGCUGAUCUGUGGAAUGGUGUUGGAAUAUUUUUUGAUUCUUUUGACAAUGAUGGAAAGAAAAAUAAUCCUGCUAUAGUAAUUAUAGGCAACAAUGGACAAAUCCAUUAUGACCAUCAAAAUGAUGGUGCUAGUCAAGCUUUAGCAAGUUGCCAGAGGGACUUUCGUAAUAAACCCUAUCCUGUCAGAGCAAAGAUUACCUAUUACCAGAAAACAUUGACAGUAAGUAACAUUUAUUUAGAGAGAAUCAAAUAAACAAUGUUACAGUAUCACUUUUCAUUUUGAAUUUUUGAUAGAAAUUAAAUGCACUUAAAUUUGGAUAUGCUUACAUACUCUUCAUUGUUACUCUAAGAGAACAGAGGUGGCUUCAAAGCUCAGUGUAAGUGGUCAUCUGUUGUAAACCCCUGAUGGUAUGUUUCCAUUUAGUCGGUAAAUGUUUAAGCCCCCUACUGUAUAGCACAUGUGAGAGAUAUAUAUAUCUAUAGAUAGAUAGAUAAUCUCCAAGCCUUCAGGAUACAAAUAUGAGUAAGACAGACAGACUUUCUCCCCAGAGAGCUUAUAGCCUAACAGAGGACACACAAAUGUAGCAUUCCUAUGCUGUGUGAUAAAUGCUGCGUUGCAGACACUAUCAAGCGGUCCUGUGGUUAGAAUCCUGUAACUGCCAGGUGGAGGUGGGGAAGGGCAGGAACAUUUUCUCAGAGUUGAGCUGUGCCCU